RNAcentral lists this ribosomal RNA (346 nucleotides) under Clostridioides difficile. Its description in RNAcentral is "bacterial LSU rRNA". It matches the Rfam family "Bacterial large subunit ribosomal RNA", at positions 2239 to 2584 of the family's 2925-position model. The record is from RNAcentral. Lineage: Bacteria; Bacillati; Bacillota; Clostridia; Peptostreptococcales; Peptostreptococcaceae.
UCUGGUCUUGGGACACUGUCAGGUGGGCAGUUUGACUGGGGCGGUCGCCUCCCAAAAGGUAACGGAGGCGCUCAAAGGUUCUCUCAGUACGGUCGGAAAUCGUACGUAGAGUGUAAAGGCAAAAGAGGGCUUGAUUGCAAGACAUACAGGGCGAGCAAGGAUGAAAAUCGGACUUAGUGAUCCGGUGGUUCGGCGUGGAAGGGCCAUCGCUCAACGGAUAAAAGCUACCCUGGGGAUAACAGGCUUAUCUCCCCCAAGAGUCCACAUCGACGGGGAGGUUUGGCACCUCGAUGUCGGCUCAUCACAUCCUGGGGCUGUAGUAGGUCCCAAGGGUUGGGCUGUUCGC